GCCUGAGGACGACCUCCCCGCCAUGGGUGAUCAUUCGGGACGACCCGA
RNAcentral lists this non-coding RNA (48 nucleotides) under Rhodobacteraceae bacterium KLH11. RNAcentral's name for it is "Guanidine-II riboswitch aptamer (mini-ykkC)". It matches the Rfam family "Guanidine-II riboswitch aptamer (mini-ykkC)". Rfam says of the family: Simpler in structure and has fewer highly conserved nucleotide positions than the ykkC-yxkD leader. Despite this each of its two stem-loop structures directly bind free guanidine. Lineage: Bacteria; Pseudomonadati; Pseudomonadota; Alphaproteobacteria; Rhodobacterales; Paracoccaceae. RNAcentral also lists the same sequence under 1 other name. The record is from Rfam by way of RNAcentral.